This is a non-coding RNA of Podarcis lilfordi (Lilford's wall lizard), 297 nucleotides long. NCBI's taxonomy places the organism in Eukaryota, Metazoa, Chordata, Lepidosauria, Squamata, Lacertidae. The record is from the annotation of a GenBank genome assembly.
AGACAGGCGAUCUGGUUGCGACAUCUGUCACCCCAUUGAUCGCCAGGGUUGAUUCGGCUGAUCUGGCUGGCUAGGCAGGUGUCCCCUUCCUCCCUCACCGCUCCAUGUGUGUCCCUUCCGAAGUUGCGCACUCGGUGGAAGAGGACGACCAUCCCAGAUAGAAGGAGUGUACCGAUCUUCGGUCAAGGGUAUAUGAUAGCUGUGCUCCUCUGCUAGAACCUCCAAACAAGCUCAAUUUAAUUAAAGUGGUUUGCCGCGCUCCAUAGUGCAUUAUAUUACUGCGAUUCAUAUUCUUAU